Molecule: ribosomal RNA, 634 nt
Filed under: Tetrasticta sp. 1 HE-2012
Lineage: Eukaryota; Metazoa; Arthropoda; Insecta; Coleoptera; Staphylinidae
Description: partial 16S ribosomal RNA
Rfam family: Bacterial large subunit ribosomal RNA
Source: RNAcentral
GUCUUUUUGAUUAUAAUUUAAAGUCUGACCUGCCCAAUGAGGAUUUGAAUGGCCGCAGUAUUUUGACUGUGCAAAGGUAGCAUAAUCAUUAGUUUCUUAAUUAGAAACUGGAAUGAAAGGUUGAACGAGAAAAUAACUGUCUCAUUAUAAUUUAUUUAGAAUUUUAUUUUUAAGUUAAAAAGCUUAAAUAAGUUUAAAAGACGAGAAGACCCUAUAGAGUUUAAUAUUUAAUAAAUUAAUUUUAUUUAUAGAAUUUUAUUUAUAUUAUUAUUAUUAAAUAUUUAAUUGGGGUGAUUAAAAAAUUUAUUAAACUUUUUUUUAACUUAAACAUUAAUUUAUGAGUAUGUGAUCCAAUAAUAUUGAUUAUAAGAUUAAAUUACCUUAGGGAUAACAGCGUAAUUUUUUUUAAGAGUUCUUAUCGAUAAAAAAGUUUGCGACCUCGAUGUUGGAUUAAAAUUAAAUUUUGGUGUAGAAGCUAAAAAAUUAGGUCUGUUCGACCUUUAAAAUUUUACAUGAUCUGAGUUUAAACCGGUGUAAGCCAGGUUGGUUUCUAUCUUUAAAUGUAUAUAAUAUUUUAGUACGAAAGGACCAAAUAUUUAUAAUAAUUAUAUGUAUAUUGAAUUAUAUUAAAUAU